AAGGCCCUGUUUGGCAUGCCUCACUAAGCCUCACUGGACUGGACUGGGUUAAAUAGUCCUUAAAACCUAUGUUUGGUAAGGGAAGGGAUUAAGUUAAAUGAGAUUAUAUAGUCCAAUGGGAAAAAAAACGUUGGACUCGCUUGUUUAAUAUAGCGAGCCCAAAACUGGGUUCGCAAAAUAGCGAGGAUGCUAUUUUGAACACACAGUCCGGCUGAAUACCACCUCUACCAUCAAACACACGAGCCCGAAACAUCAAACAUACCACCAUCACCACGAUGCCACAACCAUCAGACCACCACCAUCAAACACAUAACCAGCCACCACAUACCCAAUCGAACCAUCACCAUCACCCAAUUAGUCAAUCAAACCAUCAUCACCAGCCACCACAUACCCAGUUAAACCACCAGCACUACCCAAUCGAACCACCACAACCAUUAAUUAGUGGAACUAGAAAGAGAGAGAGAGAGAGAGAGAGAGAGAGAGAGAGAGAGAGAGAGAGAGAGAGAGAGAGAGAGAGAGAGAGAGAGAGGGUGAGUUGAUGGUUGAAUCUGUAGUGGCAUGAAGAGAGAGUCAGAAGGAGGGAAGGAAGAAGAAAAGAUAAAGGAAAGAAUAGGAAGAAUGAAACAAAGAAAAACAGAAAUGGCAUGGGAAUGGAAAGAAGAAGAGAGGAUGAAGGAAGGAAAAAAAAAAAAAAAAAAAAAAAGAAACGGGCCUGGGAAGAAAAUACAGAGGAGUGAAGAUGAAGGAAGAAAUGGGGGAAAAAAGGGGCAGAGAAGAAAAGAAAUAAGAAAAGACAAAGAAGAAAAGAAAUCGGAAAAGAUAAAGAAGAAAAGAAAUCAGAAAAGAUAAAGAAGAAAAGACAAAGGAGAGAAGAGUAUGGAUG
This 883-nucleotide long non-coding RNA is filed under the name Prunus persica (peach). RNAcentral describes it as "long non-coding RNA (PPER_LNC008387)". The record is from RNAcentral. Lineage: Eukaryota; Viridiplantae; Streptophyta; Magnoliopsida; Rosales; Rosaceae.